Non-coding RNA from Bombyx mori (domestic silkworm), 86 nucleotides. NCBI's taxonomy places the organism in Eukaryota, Metazoa, Arthropoda, Insecta, Lepidoptera, Bombycidae. The record is from Rfam.
UUAACUCAAAUUUGUAUGGAGUUGGAACGUUUGCUUAUGUUUGCCGCUUGGGGCGCUGUUCCACCUUUACAUACAAAUUUGAGUUA